RNAcentral lists this unclassified non-coding RNA (209 nucleotides) under plant metagenome. RNAcentral's name for it is "partial contains small subunit ribosomal RNA, internal transcribed spacer 1, and 5.8S ribosomal RNA". The record is from RNAcentral.
UCUCCGUUGGUGAACCAGCGGAGGGAUCAUUACUGGAAUCGCAAGAUCCCACAACCCUGUGAACCUACCGAAACGUUGCCUCGGCGGGUGCCCGGCCUCUGCGCCGGGCGCGGCGCCCGCCGGCGGCCCCCUACUCUGUCUCUGCAGCAUUGCAUCUCAGAGUCCCAGAAAACAACUAAAAACUUUCAACAACGGAUCUCUUGGCUCUA